Molecule: long non-coding RNA, 2563 nt
Organism: Salmo salar (Atlantic salmon)
Lineage: Eukaryota; Metazoa; Chordata; Actinopteri; Salmoniformes; Salmonidae
Source: RefSeq, a predicted model, not a curated record
AUAGAAUGCACGAUCGAUUUUGUAUUUCCACUUGUUCAAUUUGUAAAGAACGGAAUCUGUGAAAAUCUCACCCUAAACGUUGUUUCAACCAGUCAAAUCGCAUUCGUAUGUAUUCCUCAGAGAUCCUAGAACGUAACCAGACUUCACUAUAUCAUUAGAGAUGUAGUAUAUCCUAUAGGACACCAUAUUUGGUCAGAGAGCAAUACCUUCAUGGCAUGCCAACGACGCGGGCUGUCUUCACUUGAACGACUGUAUCUUUGUCAAAUAAGCACCAAUCGGGGUCAAACAAAGCUAGCUAGAUAGCCAAUGAGCUGGGCUUCAAGUUAUCCAUCUGAAACUUUGCACAUGCACUGCCAUCUUGUGGACACCAUCGGAAUUACAACCAGAGUGAUGAACAGGGACCUUUCUGCUGCAUUUCAAAGAUGUAUUGUGUUGUAUUUUCUUCUACCAGAUCUAUUGUGUUAUAUUCUCCUACAUUCAAUUCACAUUUCCACAAAUGUCAAAGUGUUUCCUUUCAAAUGGUACAAAGAAUAUGCAUAUCUUUGCUUCAGGGCCUGAACUAACAUUGUCUUUGUCUACUAACAACCCACUCGUACCUUGACGUGGUGAGUGGGCUUCAAACCAAGACAGGCGAUUCAUUUAUAAUUUCAUUAAAAUGUUUAGAUAACCACCUGUGUGUGUGUCCUUUCCCUCUCCCUUCUGCAGGACUACCUUCUGUAUGGAUCCAGGUGUGACUGUCACAGCUGCAACAUAACUAUUCAACAUUACCGAGUGAGUAGUUAUCGGACAUUGAGUGUGACUUCAACUAUGAAUAUUGCUCCAGUGUUAAUGUUAUGGUGUGGCACUGGGUGUGCUGUGUUUUGGUAGCUUUGGUAAUAUUCAGGCAACCUGACUCGGACACAGUGUGGCAGCUCUACCCACCUGGUGGCCUGUAAUUGGCUGUUAUCUUAUCUGCAAUAAGAAUGGAGGCAACAGAGACAAUGGGAGGAUGUCGCCCAGGAGGAAGUCCUGCAAAGAGCUAAUAUUUUUUCCAUACUUCCUUAUUGGCGCGUGAGUGUCAUUUACGGUUUAUGUUCACAUGCCACUUACCUGAGGUCCUCCUGUGUGUUCGUUUUCUGACCCCUGAAGCAACGCUGCCACCACUACUGCACCUUCAGCACAGACAAAACUUCAUACUCCGCUAGCGUCUCACGUAAACGUAAAGGAUGGACAUUUCAAAUUCCUUCAUUAGAGUGUGACCGCUUACGUUGUUAAUCACAUGCCAUUUAUCCUACUUUCACUUGUGUGUUCCAGGCUGCCUGUUGCCGGAGCUCCAGAGACUUUGCUUAGCUGACUACAGUGGAGCUGCAGGCCGCUGAUGUCACCAGGCUAAGUUCCCACACUUUGUCUUAGCAGAGAGGAUCCGAGAUGGACAAACUUAGCAGAAAAUCAAUGGUUGCUGAGCUGUUGGUGAGAAACAGGGCAUCGGUCAACGUAGCUGACCUGUGGAAUUUCACCCCCCUCUUUGAGGCUGCAGCCAAGGGAAAAUAGCGAAGAGAUCUGCUGAUGCUCAAGCACAUGCACAUUGCGGCCCUCCUGAUCAAGUACAAUGUCCGUAUGAACGCCACAGACAAGUAGUGAGCCUCCAACCUGCUCCACAUGGCAGCUCAGAAUGUAAACAUAGUGAAUGUAUGCAUGUGUUAUCUCUCUAGUUGAACAAAGUCUUCGUCUUGCAAUGACGUAGUCUGGUCACAAUAAUUCCAAUCCAAUAUAUUUUUACACACAUGGCUAGAGAAACCCCUUAUCACCCAGUAACUCUCCCUCUGAUCAUGUUCUCCUCCUUCCUCAUGCUGAUGAUAAUGUAUAUGUGCCCUGUUGAUAGACACUAUUCCCCCGAGAUGCAGAGAAGAGGGAUCACCAGCUCAGCUCAUCAAACUGUCCAAUCUCUGGAGGGGACAACAGACAUUUCUCAAAUCUGUGCUUGCCACCCAGCCAAAUGAACUAAUGCAUAAAUCCUUUAGCUUAACAUUUUGUGUGUAUUUCAUACAAUCCUGCAGGUUCUUUGCAACUCACAGCAAAUGUGUAAUCAUAUCCUGUAAUCGUGUCCCUCAGGGCUACAAUGUUGAUCGUCAAACUCCAUUCUCUAAUACGCAGAAGUGAACUGAUGUACAGUGGACCAGCAGCAGUCAGUUUGUAACCUGACACCACUGGAGGUCUUGAUGGUAUUUGAGAACAAGAAAGAAAACAAGUAGGCAGUCAGUAAAAGCAUAAAGCUUUUGGGAACUAUUUACAGAUAACAUAUAUAAAAGAAUACAUAUAAGUAGGACCAGAUCAGCCUAUAGUUUACAGCAACAUGAUCGGGCCCAUAUCCCUGGCCAACGCCAGGGAGCUCCCUCAUCCUUAUACUAUUCCUCCUCCUGUAUGUCCUACUCGCCCAUUAGGAGUGCCCACUGAAGCUCCCUUGUCUUCUCCUGCAUCACCCCAGGGUGCCGGUGGAGUGGUGGCAGGCCAUCCAAAAGAGACACUCGAAGUGAGUUUACAUACACUUACAGUGAGGGAAAAAAGUUUUUGAUCCCCUGCUGAU